GCAACGGGAGGAGCGUGCGGUUCAAUUGGAUUCAACGCCGGACAACUCACCGGGAGCGACGGUUAGAUGAAGGCCAGGCUGAUGACCUUGCCAGAUUUUCCGAGAGGUGUUGCAUGGCCGUCGUCAGUUCGUACCGUAAGGCGUUCUCUUAAGUGAGAUAACGAACGAGACCCUUGCCCUUAAUUGCAACCGGUUUCUCAGGAAGCCGGGCACAUAACGGGGACCGCUGACGCUAAGUCAGAGGAAGGAAAGGUCGACGGUAGGUCAGUAUGGCCCGAAUCUCCCGGGCUACACGCGCGCUACAAAGGACAGGACAAUGGGCUCCGACCGCGAAAGCGGAAGGUAAUCCCGAAACCUGUUCGUAGUUCGGACUGAGGGCUGUAACUCGCCCUCACGAAGCUGGAUUCCGUAGUAAUCGCUUGUCAACAUCAAGCGGUGAAUACGCCCCUGCUCCUUGCACACACCGCCUGUCAAGCCAUCCGAGUCGGGUUCGAGUGAGGGUUCCCUUCUUGGGGAGCUCGAACUGGAGCUUGGUAAGGGGGGCUAAGUCAUAACAAGGUAUCUGUAGGGGAACCUGCAGAUGGAUCACCUCCU
This 594-nucleotide ribosomal RNA is filed under the name Candidatus Sysuiplasma superficiale. RNAcentral's name for it is "bacterial SSU rRNA". It matches the Rfam family "Archaeal small subunit ribosomal RNA", at positions 881 to 1478 of the family's 1478-position model. The record is from RNAcentral. Lineage: Archaea; Methanobacteriati; Thermoplasmatota; Thermoplasmata; Candidatus Sysuiplasmatales; Candidatus Sysuiplasmataceae.